UGGCUGCUUCGCUGACGAGUGGCGGACGGGUGAGUAAUGUCUGGGAAACUGCCCGAUGGAGGGGGAUAACUACUGGAAACGGUAGCUAAUACCGCAUAACGUCGCAAGACCAAAGAGGGGGACCUUCGGGCCUCUUGCCAUCGGAUGUGCCCAGAUGGGAUUAGCUAGUUGGUGAGGUAACGGCUCACCAAGGCGACGAUCCCUAGCUGGUCUGAGAGGAUGACCAGCCACACUGGAACUGAGACACGGUCCAGACUCCUACGGGAGGCAGCAGUGGGGAAUAUUGCACAAUGGGCGCAAGCCUGAUGCAGCCAUGCCGCGUGUAUGAAGAAGGCCUUCGGGUUGUAAAGUACUUUCAGCGGGGAGGAAGGUGUUGUGGUUAAUAACCGCAGCCAUUGACGUUACCCGCAGAAGAAGCACCGGCUAACUCCGUGCCAGCAGCCGCGGUAAUACGGAGGGUGCAAGCGUUAAUCGGAAUUACUGGGCGUAAAGCGCACGCAGGCGGUCUGUCAAGUCGGAUGUGAAAUCCCCGGGCUCAACCUGGGAACUGCAUUCGAAACUGGCAGGCUUGAGUCUCGUAGAGGGGGGUAGAAUUCCAGGUGUAGCGGUGAAAUGCGUAGAGAUCUGGAGGAAUACCGGUGGCCA
Molecule: ribosomal RNA, 645 nt
Filed under: Citrobacter sp.
Lineage: Bacteria; Pseudomonadati; Pseudomonadota; Gammaproteobacteria; Enterobacterales; Enterobacteriaceae
Description: bacterial SSU rRNA
Rfam family: Bacterial small subunit ribosomal RNA
Source: RNAcentral